UACGGAGGGGGCUAGCGCUGUUCGGAAUACUGGGCGUAAAGCGUGCGCAGGCGGUUCGUUGUGUCCGGUGUGAAAGCCCCGAGCUUAACUGGGAAUGGCAUUGGAAACUGGCGAGCUGGAGUGUGGCAGAGGGGGUGGAAGUUCCACGGUGUAGCAGUGAAAUGCGUAGAGAUGUGGAGGAACACCGAUGGCGAAGGCAGCCCCCUGGGCCAACACUGACGCUCAGGCGACGAAAGCGUGGGAGCAAACAGG
This 252-nucleotide ribosomal RNA is filed under the name uncultured bacterium. RNAcentral describes it as "partial 16S ribosomal RNA". It matches the Rfam family "Bacterial small subunit ribosomal RNA", at positions 524 to 776 of the family's 1533-position model. The record is from RNAcentral.